AGAUGGGACCUGGAAGAUACACCAGAAACAGAAGAAAAGGUUCUCAAAACUGCGAAAGGGCGAUAUAGAGGCUGGCGAUCAACUCUAAGCUCCACUUACAAGGCAUACAAAAUAGAUGCAGCUAGAUUGGCUCAUCUAUCGGAAGAUUUACAACCAGAAGAGUGAGAAUGGAUGAUUGAGUACUUUGGCACUGAUUCAAAAUUCUAGGUUAUCUCUAUGAUCACUGUUUGUCUACUAUGUGUAAAGAUGAAAUGGCUAGUCUCACGUUAUAUUUGGUUCCAAUUAAUUGAUAGGAUCGCAGCCAAAAGAACGCCGAUAACCGUAAGAAACAGAAGACAAAACACAGAAUCGGAUCAAAAUCUUACUCGCAAGUUAGUUUUGAGAAGGUAUGAGUCCAACUAA
Molecule: ribosomal RNA, 402 nt
Filed under: Triticum aestivum (bread wheat)
Lineage: Eukaryota; Viridiplantae; Streptophyta; Magnoliopsida; Poales; Poaceae
Description: partial small subunit ribosomal RNA
Source: RNAcentral